RNAcentral lists this ribosomal RNA (253 nucleotides) under uncultured bacterium. RNAcentral's name for it is "partial 16S ribosomal RNA". It matches the Rfam family "Bacterial small subunit ribosomal RNA", at positions 524 to 776 of the family's 1533-position model. The record is from RNAcentral.
UACGGAGGGUGCGAGCGUUAAUCGGAAUUACUGGGCGUAAGGGGUGCGUAGGUGGUUGUAUAAGUUAUCUGUGAAAUUCCUGGGCUUAACCUGGGGUGGUCAGAUGAUACUGUAUGACUCGAGUAUAGGAGAGGGUAGUGGAAUUUCCGGUGUAGCGGUGAAAUGCGUAGAGAUCGGAAGGAACACCGGUGGCGAAGGCGAGUCUCUGGACAUUUCCUGACGCUGAGGCACGAAAGCCAGGGGAGCAAACGGG